This 371-nucleotide ribosomal RNA is filed under the name uncultured bacterium. Its description in RNAcentral is "bacterial SSU rRNA". It matches the Rfam family "Bacterial small subunit ribosomal RNA", at positions 124 to 490 of the family's 1533-position model. The record is from RNAcentral.
ACGUGCCCAUUCGUGGGGGAUAACGCAGCGAAAGCUGUGCUAAUACCGCAUACGAUCUACGGAUGAAAGCAGGGGAUCGCAAGACCUUGCGCGAAUGGAGCGGCCGAUGGCAGAUUAGGUAGUUGGUGAGGUAAAGGCUCACCAAGCCUUCGAUCUGUAGCUGGUCUGAGAGGACGACCAGCCUCACUGGGACUGAGACACGGCCCAGACUCCUACGGGAGGCAGCAGUGGGGAAUUUUGGACAAUGGGCGAAAGCCUGAUCCAGCCAUGCCGCGUGCAGGAUGAAGGCCUUCGGGUUGUAAACUGCUUUUGUACGGAACGAAACGGUCUUUUCUAAUACAGAAGGCUAAUGACGGUACCGUAAGAAUAAG